This 23081-nucleotide long non-coding RNA is filed under the name Sorghum bicolor (sorghum). RNAcentral describes it as "long non-coding RNA (SBIC_LNC018133)". Lineage: Eukaryota; Viridiplantae; Streptophyta; Magnoliopsida; Poales; Poaceae. The record is from RNAcentral.
GCACACAUUAAUUCUCUAUGUAAACCCGACGUGUGGGCCUUUCCUUCGUAUUUCCUGAUAACCCCCUGUAGAAAUAGACAAACACCAAAACUCGUAGAAAUCUGUCAGAUGAAACCCUAAGUCUAGGUGUUAGUUGCAUUUGGAUCCUUUUUCAUGAUUAGUUGACGGUUAAAUGUGAGCAUUAAGGACCGUCAACAAGCUCCCCCAAGCUUAACAUUUGCUCAUCCCUGAGCAAAGAUGGACUCAUGAGUUUCUGCAGUGGUUUCAUGCUUAAAGGUACACAUGCGUUCAAACAAGAUCUCAUCUCUAGGUUAGGGUAAACUGUUAAGAUUUAAACUUACUCAUUUUACCUUCCACUAUGGGGCUUGCAACCGUCACUUAUGUAUUGAGCAGUUAAAAGAUAGAACGGUCUAGUCAAGCGCCAUGUCUCUUGUUCUUCGAUUAACUAUAGCUCUGGAGUUUUUGUAGAUUUUCAAAUAAAACUCAGAGAUUCCUUGUAUGACUCUCUUUAGUCUCUCUUUUGUGGUAUUUCUGGAUCCUUAUCAAGGCAGUAAUGGUGUAUGCCUUCUCUCAAAGUAUGUGGUAUUUUUGGUAUGAGGCAUAGUGGUAUUGCCUUCUCUCUCACCCUACUCUAAUAAGGUUUUGAUAUCUGGAGCUCAUAGGUGGGAGACAGCUAAUACAUACUUACAAGACACUUAUUGCAUAGUCAAACCAUGGAUCCAGAAGAACAAGUCAAUAAGUCAAAUCAAGAUGUGCAUGUGUGGCGAAUGAAUUGUGAUAAUGGUGAAAGUCUAAUUCUAAUUUUGCUCUUUUGAGGAGGUACAUACCUUUCUUGCACUUGAGGCUUUUGAGGGGAAUGAGACGCUCUAUAUUUUAUUUUUCUUUUCUCUCAGGUGGGUAUCUUGUACCCCUAAUUCUACUGUCGCACACUUGUCCAUUUUUGGAUAGGAUAAUGUUUUUGGCUAUUCUCUCCUAGAUAGGAGUAGAAUAAUUUUGGAUGAAUCUGGAUAUAGAAAUGAGUGGAUGUAUGUGGAUGCGUACUUCUGGAGUAGAAGCAGCAUGUAUGAGUGAACGUGCAAGUGAAUCUUGAUUUUAACCGCAUGACAAGCUCCUAAGGGUCUACACAGCUUGACCACACCCAAUGCUCAUAAGUAGUAAAAAGUAAAUGUAUGGUUCAUAGUUUAAUAAGCUUGUAUAUAUGGCUGUGGUAGGAUUUUAAACUCUCAUCAUACAGGAACUCAUCAUGCAACGUUUUAAAGAUUUUCAAAGAUAAAAUUCUCCAGAAUUCUAGCAUCUCUAGGAAUAGAUAAACAGCAGCUCAACCUUCCCAUAUCAUAUCUGUUAACGACUUAGACUUUUGAUCAGGUACUCUUCCCGCAAAUUCAGAUUUAGAGCAAGCUUUAAAUUAUAACAGUUAUGUCUAAACUUGAGAGAGAGCUCAAAUUUGAAAACUAGGUACUUGGCAGAGCAACUAUUCAUCAUAUCCAUGUAAAAGUUUAUCAUUGAAGUUCAGUUUGGCAUAGACACUUUAUUUAUUUAUUUAGCAAACUAAGCAAAGAUAUAUAUAAGCACAAAAUGUUUAAUUGGGUUUUUAUGAUUAUGUAUUUUUUUAUUAUUUGAAUAAAGUAUAAAUGUGAGUAGAAACACUUAACUGGAUAAAUGGGGGUGCUCUCCCCCAAGCUGGAUUUUAACGUAAUUUCUUCUGAUGUAGCUAGCAGGUGGCGUAGGUGUAUUUAAAUGUUGGCAGCACCUGAUAGCGAUUAGGAUAUCCUCCGUCUGCUUGUCUUCCUUCAUCCUUGAAUUCUAUGGAGCUCAAAUAGACAACAAAGCUUUGUGGAACUGGUUAAGUGUUAGCAUAAAAUCUCUUAGCCUUUAUCAUGUUGAGCUUCCUCUAAUAAAUAUUACUCUCUUUAGUAGGAUCAUAAAUUUAUUUUUAUAUUUUCAUUUUUACAGGACAAGAAUAUAUUUAUUUUAUUUUUACACCACCAUAGUGAAUGAGUUUUAUGCCACGAGCAUACUCACAUGGGGCUUACUGUUUUUAACAUUUUUAUUUUCUUUUCAAGAUAGCAUGAUUAACUAACAAGCUAUUUAAGGAAAGUAAAUAAUUUAAGAAAAAAAGGGAAUGCAGAAAGGAUAAAUAUGGAUAACUACCGAUUUUACCUUUCGGCGAGGGUUCAAUGUUUUAAGUCUUCUGAACAAGACUUCUCACCGUGUUCAUUUGAGUUAGGUGUGUCAUUUGAGUUAGGUGUGGACCUUGACAUCUGCACCUCUUGAUAUGAUGUCAUCCAAGUUUUUCGUUUGCCCGGCAGUUCGAAGUGCGGCGUUGGCAGCAUCCUCCUCAGUGUGUUUGUGCUCGUAGAUCUAGGUCCUUCACUUGGUAGAGUCUGGGAGUUGGAAAACUCCUCCAUGUUUUGCUCGAAGUGUAUCCUGCUCAUAGAGACAAGCCAGAGAUCAAGUGCAUGGGCCCUGUUGGUGGAAAACACCAACAGAACCAAAAGUGUAUUUGUUCUUCUCUAACCUUAAGCAUAGUGAGCAAGACAAAGUUGAUGGAUGACAAGAUGAUGAGUGUAGCAUUUAAAACAUUUGUCAGAUCAGAUCACUCAACCUUAUGGAAAGAUAAUCUAUCUAAGUAAAUGUUUUUUUCUUUACAUGACUAUCAUUUUCCAAAGAUCGGAUGUGCAACAUUUUAGCUCAUAUGGUUAAGAGUGUGGGAUGAAGAAGGUAGUACCGGAAACAAAGAUUAAAAGACUAAACAUGUUGAAUCAAUUGGGUUGGUUAAUUUGGAGUUAUAAAUCAUACAUGUUUGUCUUUUUAUCCAUGUGCAUGCCAGAAUCAAGGAGAAGCUUAUAACAGUGACAGUCACAUACCUUAAGAUGUUACCUUAAUUGAAGAGUGAUGGUACAAUAUCACCUUGUGGAAGCUUUUCUUUCUAAAUGGGUGUGCAUCUUGUUCGUGGCACCCUUCGUCUCGUUCCAUGGAUUAUCUCUCGAGAUAUGUCUUUCUUGUGCAAAUUGUUAAACUUCAUGUGUCACCUUCUUUAUCUCCAUUCUGAAUUUAUCUCAGGACUUCUCAAAUCGAUAUUGAAAAUUUUCCUGCAGGGGUUAGUCCAACAAAAUAUACCAGUGUCUACACAAGCAGUUUUUAGUUCAAUAACCAAACUAGACUCCAUGUCUAAUCGGAUUAAGGAAGGCUAUUUAACCUAAGCGCCAUGCUUAAUUUAAAUGCCAAUGGAAGUAUGUCGAGUACUUCCAAACCAACACUUACUUGUGAAUAGACAAAGGUAGCAUGACAACAUUAUAGAGAUCUACUCAAGUGGGGAUGAAGUAGAAUGAUUAGUGUUUAACAAAUUGAGCAUGUCUUAAGGGUAGGGAUAACCAACAUAGCAACAUGGCAAAGGAUGUUUUUGUGUAAGGUAUUCCCCCAGCUUGAACAAGUCAAGUUUGGAUGAAUUUAAUUCAAUGUUGCAUGAUGAUUGGUUGGACAUACCUUGUUGUUAUUCUUCGCUCUUUUACGUCAAGCCUGAAUCGUGAAGAUAACGGGAUUGCUUCCCCCAAGCUGAAUGUUGACAUAGUCUUUAAUCUUGAAUCCGCACAACACAGAUGUUCUUCAAUAUUCUUGAGCUUCAAAAUGUCAGUGAUGAUUGCAGCGCUUCCAAGUUGAUGGAGAUAUCUUGAUCAUUGGGGAUUCUCUCUUUAAAUCAUGUUAAACUCAAAUAGACAACAAAACUUGUGGUACCGAUUAAACAUUAGUAGUGGCCACUUAAGCCUUAGUUGUCCAAGAUUUUUAGAUUUUUCUUAAUUCUUUUUCUAAGCAGAGUUUCAACAAGAUCUCUUUCUCAAUAUAUAUAUUUAAUAUUUUUAUGAAGCAAAAGGAAAUGGAACAGGAUGAAUGCAUGUUUAUUUAUUUUUAUUUUUUUUAUUCCACCACGGUGAAUAUCCGUGUGGGCUUUUACACACCACACAAUUUAUUCACAUGGGGUUUUAGUAUUUAAGAUGCAAUGAGUUAUAUAAAAUACUUUUAUUAUAUUUUCUAAUGCAAUAAUAAUGCAGAAAGAUAAAUAUGUUAUGGAGAAUUAAAUAUGCUAAAAACAAAUGCAGAAAACAUAAAUACAAUAAACCUACUAAAGCUAGUGAUACAUUAAAUUAGCAGACAUCAAGAUUAUUAUCAAAAUCUUCACACCAAUUGCUUCCCCGGCAACAGCGCAAGAAAUGCUUGUUGACAUUCAUUAAGUGCAAUAAGAAUAAGAAAAAUUCUGCAAGCGCACAGAACAUCAUCGUAGCAUUUUAUCGGGAGUAUUCUAGGUAUCGUUAUUUAUAUUUUACCACUGGGAAGCUAAGGUCAAAGAAUCUGAUAACUUACUAUCAUGCAUCUACUAACUUAAUAAACCAACUAGACUAAAGUAGGGGUAAAUGAUAUAUGAUAGGUAAUAAUAUAAAGGUGAGAAUUCUAUGAUAAAUGCGUAGAUAGCCAUAGCGGGAGGACAACGGGAGAGACCUGGGUUCCUGUAUACUUCUCUAUUACUUCAGUUCUAUGAUAACAAAGAAUGAAUAGUUAUAGCAAUCACAUAUUAGCACUUUGGGACAUCAGAACACCAACCACAGAAAGAGAACUGGAAGGGGGCUGGGAAGCUCUGACUACGGUCCUACAAACACCGAUCCGAACGAGGUGGAAUACGUCGACCGUUAGGGCUGUCACUACCCUAGGGCUACCACAACAAUCCGCAGGACUGGGUGUAACCUCAGGUAACCUCUAGUAUAGACACCACGUCUACACUAACGAUUACUACUCUAAUUACCAUGAAUAACUAGAGCACUCGAUGCGAACGGAGAUCCUAUGCCAAAAUAUAACAACUACACUACUCGAUAAUAAUAAAGGCAUAAAAGUAAAUAGAGAAGAUAAAUAUAUUAAAGCAUAAGUCUUACAAUAAAUAUAAAGACAUACCAAAACUCUGAAGACUUCUCCAGAACCGAAGCGCAGCUCCGCUCUUCCUAACUCCCGACUAGAACUAAUCUACUACAUUGGAAUGUCUAGCCCUAAUUCUCUAUAGAGGAAAGGUUAUCCUUCGAGGGCACCUCUCAACUCUAUAAUGAUGUGUUCUCCUCCAGGGGCCAGGGGCCUUGCUUAUAUAGUCUCCUCCUUUGUGCCUUUUUGGUUCAGCAGGCGAUGUGGUACUAAACUUUCUACCAUAUCUCAUUAAAAUGCACAUAGGCCAUAAUGGACCAAAAAUCUGAUUUGGGCCCAAUUAAUCCCGCAGCUCUUUUAUGUGGAGUAUUUCUUUUAAUAAUAUCUCUUGAUUCCGAACUCCAAAUAUACCAAAUAAUAUAUGCAUUUCGAUCAGCUCGACGAGACCUUUGUAAUGGUGUACUCCAUUCUGUGAUUGGUGCUUGUACCAGGGCGGGCGCCCUAGGAUCAAGGGCAGGCGCCCCGGCCCCGGGCCCGUCUCGGCUCCGCUUUGGUCGAGUUGCUUCUAGAGUCUUCCUGAUUAUGGAAAAUUACCGCACACAUUAGUUCUCUAUGUAGACCCGACGUGUGAGCCUUUCCUUCGUAUUUCCUGAUAACCCCGUGUAGAAAUAGACAAACAUAAAAACUUAUGGAAAUCUGUCAGAUGAAACCCUAAGUCUAGGUGUUGGUUGCAUUUGGAUCCUUUUUCAUGAUUAGUUGACGAUUAAAUGUGAGCAUUAAGGACCGUCAACACUUGCCCUAUACACGGGAGGGGGACUAUAUAAGAAUCAAUGAAGCUGUCACCACCACGAACUACCCUGCGAUCCGGCAUAUAGGGUACAAUUGCAGAUAAAUACGGUAUAGGCACCACGCCUACACAAUAUCUAUCAUUUACCCAUGGAUCCGAUGGAUAAACGCUAUACGAUCCUAAACAUGUAUAUAAUUCCAAUCUAACUAAGCCAAGCAUAAAACUAUGAUAAACUAAGAAUGAUAUAAUUGCAAAUAUAAACAAGUAGAGCAAAGUCAUAAUCAAUAUAUUGAAAUAGAACAAAGUUGUAUUCAUAAUAUUGAAGAACAAUGAUGAACAAAUGAAGAACAGUAGAGGAAUUACCAAGAAUCCUCUUGACUGAUCCGGAAACCAAUCGAAGAUUGACUCCUAAUUCUAAUCCUAUGUAGCUAUGCUAAACUAGAGAUCUAGUUGAUGUGGUGGCUCUAGGGCUUGAUCAUAGACUCUCCUUGUCACAGAACCGACCAAAUUAUAAGAGUUCAAGUGUAGAAACGAUCGACAAGCAAUCAAGUUUCCAAACUUGAGCCCAUAUAAUCCCGGUAGUCAACUGAAAUCACGAAGGACUUUAAACCAACUUGCAACAAACCAAGAUCGUAAUAGUUCAACACAACACAGCGAAUGUUACAUAGUCAUUCAUUGCCGUCGAAGCGGCACUACAUCGGAGUUGCUUAGUUAUUACAACACAUGUUUGUAGUAGCGGAAGCAAAAUAGUUUACAACACACGUUUCAUAGUUCAGUUCACAAGUUCUUGUUAUAGCCAGAGUCAUACACCAUCCAUCCAAAAGCAGUCGGUACGAGUUGGUUAGAGAACCGUGCCCAACGGUUUAGUCCUCAUCCCCAGCGGGAUGGAGACAGGUCUUGCAGAAGCCAUCAUAAAAGAUAUCAUCUGCAACAGGUGGGAAAUAAACCCUGAGUACGAGAAUGUACUCAGCUAGACUUACCCGUCUAGUAAAACAUAAAAGACAUCAAGGAUCAUGCAAGGCUAAUAUCAAGUGGAGCUGGUUGACUCAACAUUUGCCAAAAGCUUAGAUCAUAGUUACAAUGUUGUGAGAGCAUCAUAUUAAUCAUCAUCAGUCUACCACUAGAUUAGCACCUGUACUAAAGCACUUCACUUGAUUAUUACAAGCAAUAAUAACCAUAUCAAAUUCAUCAUAUGUUCUUCCUUGCUAUCAUCAUUAUCACGAACCAAGUUCAUUAGUGAAUGCUACGUUUGCCGCUGCUCUGUCAAGUUCUCACUAACCGGGAGAGACGGCGAUUCGAAUCGAGUUCCUAUCCAGCUGGAGAGGUACUCCUAGCACUCACCCAAGCAUCCCCCGUCGGAGAGCCAACGGGUCACCUUUGGUACGACUCAGGAAUCGUGGCUCCGAUCAGCGCCGCACUCCCAGGGCUACCACACUGCCAGGGAGGUCAGGAAUUUUAACUCACCUGCCUUUAGGCUUACGCCAAUGGUCCCCCGCACACCGCACUUCCUCCGGUAGUGCGCACUUUAUACUUGCCGGUCUUCCGGCCUGAGUCAUAUUACUAGGCUUCGCGGUCGGAACGAGUUAUCCGGCCAACUAAGUGUUAGGCAUGCGUUCAACAUGACAAGAGGACGUACAACGGUCGGUCCUUAGCUGCCACAGGCGGAGUUACUACAACCUUGCAAAACUCCGCCCGACUUAAGUCAAUUUAAUCAGGUUCCAUCCACAAUAGCACAUAUAGUCCAUUGUGAUCCGACAUAACCCUAUAUCGCGCAGGUGACACGAUAUCACCCGACUUCUACCGGUUUAAAGCUUGGCUAAGCUACUACUCGAUCCUAACUCUAUAACCAGGUAGUGGUAAGAUAUCUGGACAAGGAUGGAGUAAAAUGCAGCAAGGGUUUCAUCACAACUCCUAUACUUAAAUGCAUCAACAGAUAUAACAUAUUCAAAUAAACUUUCGAAAGUAAAGGGAGACUUAGGAUCCUCCGGGGCUUGCCUUUCACAAAUAAGGCUGGUUCGUGAUUUGGGCACUCAAUCUUCUCUUCGGGCUCCUCGAGUCCGACUUGCUGGACCUCCACCUCCGGGUUGCCUUCCUGGCCUUCGGGGUUCACUUGAAGCUCAUAGGAGGCGGUCGCGUCCGGUUUGCUUGCUCGAGGAAUAAGAAAGUGUGCAUACUAAAAGAUGAAUGCUUGAUAACAUAAUUAAACUCGCUGGACACUCAUUUACGGAGUAACGGUGAUAACAAGUUCACCCAAGAUGAUAAGUUCACUUAGCCAAAACCUACCAAGUUACUAUCACAGCAAGCAUUACAUAAAGAACAGCUCAGUAAACAGGUCAUAACUAUUGCUAAAAAGAUCCAACAAAUAUAAGUGAGGACAUUCUGGAAAGCUUAAGAAAUUAUCUACAAAUCAUCUUUAAACAUCACAGCGAGAAUCAUAAGUUAAACAAGCCUUAUAAACAAAGUUCCAGGUUCUGUCCCAGAAAACAGAAAGCACCUAUUUCUGGAAUCCAACUUGGAACAGCCAUAACUUUCAAACUACUGGACCAAAUGAUCCUAAAUUUAAACCACAGCUAGUUAAUAAAGUUUACAACAACUUUGAUUUAGACAAGCCUUCCAGAAAACCAAAUUUUUAAUAAGCAAAGAUUGAAUUACUUCCUUGCUGUCCAGAACAGCUUUUAACCCUUUAAUUAAUUAUUUGAUGACAUAGCCAAAGCAUAAACAAUGUCAACCACAUGGCUUAUCAACACAAACACAUCAUAAGACAACCAGAACAUCAUAUGAUAACUUCUAAACAUUUAUUAACAAGGCAUUUAUUAAUUUAAUUCUAUAAAGGGGCAUAAUUACAAGAUACUAGUAAAAGUACUCAGACACAUCUACAAAAAUUACAGAAGUACAAGCAUAGCAUCAUGACAUCACCAUAAAAAUUUCAGAGCAAUUGCACGUGCCAAACUUAAGAUAAGCAUUUAACAGGUGACAAGGUGCUUAUUUCAUAAAUUCAGAAACAUGGCUUAUAUGGUGUCAAACAACAGAUUUCAGAUUAUUUUCAUACUACUAUUAUCAUAAAGAAGUGUGACACCAAAGUAGAGCACCAGCAUAAGCAUCAAUUAUUUACUAUGAUUUUAAUAAGAAAACAAGCCAUAUCUCAAUCAUAAAUAACAUAUCACAGAUGCAGCACUCCAAAAAUCAUGAGUUAUUUAUUAUAGCACUCUAAUACCACACAAAGACUACCAUAAAAAUUUCACAGCAAAAGGAGCAGUAUAACAAAAGAUAUGAAUUUAUUCAGGAAUAACAAGAUUAAAUCCCAAUAAUUAUUUUUCCCAGAAAACAUGGUUAAUUUUAUAUUUUUCAAAACAAUAGCCAUCUCCAAGAAUCUCACAAAAUUGGUUUCACAAUUUUUAGAUCUCAGAAACAAGAGAUAUGAUUUUUGCAAGAAAGCCAAAAACCUGGAUUUGAAUAAAAGAAAAGGAGGGAAGCGAGGUGACACUGACAGUGGGUCCCUCCUGUCAGGGUCGUCUUCCUCACGGCCGAGGCGACUCUCGCCGCCGAUUUCUCCGUGACGGCGAGGUCUCCGGCCAAACCCAGGGUACCAUCGUGACCGCCCGACCCUUGCCACUCGAUUGACUUUUCCCCACGGCGGAGCCACCGGAAAUGGCUUGCCGUCGACCAUGGCAGCUCGGCGGAGGUGCUCGGCGUUACGCCGGAGCUCUCAGGCCGGAAGAGCACGACCUUGGGUUUCCUACAGCACCAGCGGACUACGGCGAAGCUUCCUAGGUAGGCGACUUGGCUUGACACGGUGUAGAACGAGCUAGCCACGAGAGCGCCCAACUCCGGCGGAAACACGACGGCACUGCGCGUCGUGUCCGGCGACGGUGAGCGCGGUAGAGCGUCCACCAAGCGGCGCAAACGCUUGCUAAGAUCCUAAGCUACCUCUAGGACCUAACCAGAGAAGACGAGAGGCUCCGAGGAGCUCGGCAUUGAGUUCGCCGGAGAAGAAGGUCACGGCGACCCGAUUUGGGGGAAGUUGGGAAUGUCGGCUCAUCGGAGGGUUUCACGGCGAGUUAGCGGGUGGAGAGUGGAGAGCGGUCCACGGCGGAGCUGUGGGCGAGGUUUGGUGGACAGCAGCACAGCGAGGAGCGCGUACGAGCUCGCCGGAGUGAGCUCGCGACGGUGAGCUCGCUGCGGCCGUGUUUCUAGCGAGAGAGGGCGAGGCAAAGAGGAAUGGACGCGUCCACUUCGCCCGGGGUGUCGCCGUGGAGGACAUGCGCGCGCUGGGAGCUGACGAGCGGGGCCAGGAACGACGUACGGAUGCCAAAUGUCGCCGUUGCUCUGCCGCCGGUCGGCCAUGUCGACAAGCUCGGUUCUGAUUGAGACAAAACGAUGGCCGACUGACAGAGCUACUUUGACAACGAUUAACUCCCAAACCAAAGCGAGUUAGGAGAUGAUGUAGUUGACAAAGUUGGAGUACUAGCUGAGUUCUACAACAUUGUUAACUGGAGCAAGGGCUAGAUCAGCCUGGUUUGAAAGAUAUGAAGUUUUCAAAAUCGAUCAAGCAAACUGCAGCGUCCCCAGACUUAAAAUUUAUUUUUCAAAGUGUUCGAAACUGCCCCAAUUCUGCCUUGUGGGUCACUUUUGAGCUAGAUGUGGUCAUUUUCAUGAGAUGGCCAUAAAACAACUUUUAUUCCUUAUAAAACUUGCUACAACUUUGCUGUAGAAAGUUUUGACAUGCAAACACUUGAUGAAACACUUUUUAAAAGCCUAAGCAAAAGAGGUUUCUAUGGCCUAUUUGUGUAAGUAUGACUUAAGUGAUUAUUUUGGAGAAGUGAUAAACAUGAACAUUGUUCCUAAUGUUGAGUUAAGCAUAGAUAAACUAAUUACCAAGGCAUAGAUCACAAACACAAGCAUGGUACACACCAACACAAGCCUAGGAAGCCUAUUUAGACAACUUAAAUCACAUUUUGCAUAAAAUGACAUGGCUCAAGGUAGAUGAUGAUCAUGAUAUGCUUGAGUAAAUGAUGAUGCUUAUGUUAUGCAUGUGAUUUAUGCAACCAUAACACUGGGGUGUUACAGCCCUCCACCCUUACAAAAAUCUCAUCCCGAGAUUUGGAAGCUUACUGGUUUUCGAAGAAGGUUUUAUAAACUUCUUUUAAAUAGUCCUCUGUCUCCCAAGUGGCAUCUUCCUCCCCGUGGUUACUCCACAACACCUUGUAGAACUUAACCACACGAUUACGAGUCACCCUUUCCUUGCGGUCAAGAACCGCUACAGGUUGUUCUUCAUACACCAAGUCAGAUUUUAACUUGAUAUCCCGAACUUCCACUCGUUCCUCCGGAACACGAAGGCACUUCUUCAAUUGAGAUACGUGGAAGACAGGAAAAAUAGCUCGAAGCUCUCCUGGGAGUUGAACUUUGUAUGCCACAUCUCCUUUCCUUUCAAGAAUCUGAUAGGAUCCCACAUAACGAGGUGCAAGCUUUCGCUUGACUCCGAACCUUUGUACGCCCUUCAUCGAAGACACCUUGAUAUAUACAUGGUCACCGACUGCAAACUCAAUCGGCUUCCUUCUCCUGUCAGCAUAACUUUUCUGACGAGCUUGAGCAGCUUCCAGAUGUUGCUGGAUGGUACGGACUUGCUGCUCUGCUUCGUUCAUGAAAUCGAUGCCAUAAUACAUUCGCUCCCCGGAUUCUACCCAAUUCAACGGGGUUCGACACUUUCGACCAUAUAGGGCUUCAAAUGGAGCCAUCUUGAUACUCUCCUGAUAACUAUUGUUGUAAGAGAACUCAGCUAAUGGCAACCACUUAACCCAAGAACCUUUUGAAGAGAGAGCACAUGCCCUCAACAUGUCUUCUAGGAUUUGGUUGACCCAUUCAGUUUGACCUGCCGUUUGGGGAUGAUAAGCAGAACUACGGACUAAGUGAGUACCAAUCUGCUCAUGUAGACACUCCCAAAAACGGGCAGUGAAUUGUGGUCCACGAUCUGAUAUGAUGGUUCGAGGCACACCAAACUGACGAACAAUGUGCUCGAAAUAUAACUCCGCAUAUUGAUGUGGGCGAUAGUCAGUUCGAACUGGAAUAAAACGAGCAACCUUGGUCAAACGAUCUACAAUCACCUAGAUAGAGUCGUAUCCCUUGACAGAAGUUGGGAGUCCAAUGAUAAAAUCCAUGCUGACUUCUUCCCAUUUCCAACCAGGAAUUGACAAUGGCUGAAGCAAACCAGCUUCCAUGUGAACGGCCUUCACGCGACAACAAUUGUCACAGCGAGCGACAAAAGCAGCAAUCUCUUUUUUCAUCUUUGUCCACCAAAACAGAGGUUUCAGAUCCUGAUACAUCUUGCUGCUACCAGGAUGGAUAGACAAUUUGGAUGAAUGAGCUUCAGAUAAAAUCUGAUUUCGUAGCUCACGGUCUUUUGGGACCACUAGUCGAUCGUUGAACCAAAGAAUUCCGUUCUCAUCGACCCGGAAAUGCUUGGUUUCUUCUUCUUUCAUUUUCCUCUUUAUAUGGUGGAUGCUUACAUCUGUUUGCUGCAAUUCAAUGAUUCGAUUGCGAAGGGUACUCUCUAGAGAAAUCUGGUUGAGCACAAGUGGAUGCAUAAGAUGUGACAACAACGGAUCUUCCACCUGGACUGAGUGACAGUGCGCUUUCUGACUCAAGGCAUCCGCAACCAUGUUUGCCUUGCCCGGAUGAUAGUGCACUUGUAGAUUAUAAUCUUUAAUCAACUCAAGCCACCUUCGCUGCCGCAUGUUCAAUUCAGGUUGAGUGAAGAUGUACUUGAGGCUCUUAUGAUCGGUGUAGAUAUUGCAUAGAUUACCCAGCAAAUAGUGCCUCCAGAUUUUCAAAGCAUGAACAACUGCUGCCAAUUCUAAGUCAUGGGUAGGGUAGUUGACCUCAUGCUUUCGAAGUUGGCGCGAGGCAUACGCGAUAACGCGACCUUCCUGCAUCAACACGCAGCCUAGACCAAUACCCGACGCGUCACAGAAGACAUCGAAGGGCUUCUCGAUAUCAGGUUGAGCUAGGACAGGAGCUGAUGUCAGCAAUGUCCUCAACUUGUGGAAUGCCUCUUCACAGUUAGGCGUCCACACAAACUUCUCAUCUUUCUGAAGUAGGCGAGUCAUAGGCUUGGAUAUCUUUGAAAACUCUGGAAUAAAUCGACGAUAAUACCCCGCCAGACCGAGAAAACUCCGAACCUCGUGCACCGAAGUUGGAACUUUCCAAUCCAGCACUUCUUGCACCUUAGCCGGAUCCACCGAUAUGCCUUCUUCAGAUAAGACAUGGCCCAAGAAAGGUACUUUCCUUAGCCAAAACUCGCAUUUGUUGAACUUGGCAUAAAGCUGAUGCUCACGCAAGCGCGACAACACCACACGCAGAUGCUCUGUAUGCUCCUCUUCAUUGCAGGAAUAUACCAGGAUAUCAUCAAUGAAGACCACCACAAACUUGUCCAAUUCGGGCAUGAACACCGAGUUCAUGAGGUACAUGAAAUGAGCAGGUGCAUUCGUAAGACCGAAGGACAUGACGAGAUACUCAUACAACCCAUACCUCGUCAAGAAAGCUGUCUUAGGUACAUCUUCAGGACGGAUCUUGAUCUGAUGAUACCCAGAUCGCAAAUAAAUCUUGGAGAAUACCUUAGCUUUAGACAACUGAUCAAAUAAGAUAUCAAUGCGAGGAAGAGGGUAUUUAUUCUUGAUGGUCACCGCAUUCAGGGGACGAUAGUCCACACACAUGCGUAAGGACUGAUCCUUCUUCUUCACAAAGAUAGCCGGACAACCCCAAGGAGAAGAACUAGGACGGAUAAGACCCUUCUUCAACAACUCAUUCAACUGGGUCUUAAGCUCUGCUAGCUCAUUGGGUGGCAUUCUAUAAGGUCUCCUAGAGAUAGGAGCGGUACAUAGAAUCAAUUCAAUUUUAAACUCCACAUCCCGAUCUGGAGGAAGCCCGGGUAAAUCAUCAGGAAAUACAUCCGGGAACUCACACACCACCGGAAUAUCCUGGAUGGCCUUAGCUGUAACUGCAUUCACAGUGCUAUGGGUAUGGAUAUCUCGAGGAAGUUGCACUAAGAACGCUUCCCUGGUAUUUGGGUCUCUCAACAUCACUACACGAGUGGUGGUGUCGAUAAGAACUCCGUUACCCCUCAUCCAUUUCAUACCCAGAAUUACAUCUAUACCCACACCAGGUAAGACAACCAGAUCAGCAAGAAACUGACGGUCUCCUAUUUCUAGAGUUGCCUCCAAAACCACUUGAUUGGUAGAAAUAUCAUUUCUAGCAGCACUAAUACAAUAACUGCCCUUUUCAAGUGUAAUUGCCUUGAGAUUAUGCUUAGACACAAAAUCUAAACUCACAAAAGAAUGCGAUGCUCCUGAAUCAAAAAGCACAAGUGCAUCACAUUGGUUAACCAGAAACUUACCAGCCGUAACUACCUCACCAGCAGGGAUUGCCUCCACAGUUGUGUAGUGAACACGCCCCUGACGGACAUUCCCUUGGUUGCCCUUCUUCGGAGGGUAAGGACAAUUGCUCUGCCAAUGCUCGGUCUGAUUGCAGUUCCAGCACGGACGGUUGGCAGGUGGAGUCUUGGCAUAGCUGGGACCCGUGUUACCCCUAGGAAGAGUAAUGGAGUAACCCUUGCGGAAACCCGUCUUCGCCUGAUUCUUCUUCACAGGCGGGCGAUACCGCUGGUUAGGAGUUGGAGCACGGAUCGGUGGCCUAGCUGCCACUGGAGCCUUGGAUUGAGAUGCCCCUGCCCCGGCCUCAAAAGCCCUCUUGCGAUUCUUGGUCGCAGUGUACACAGUGUUGUAGUUCUAUUGGGUAAGAGCAUCACUGACAAACUCAUUGAAAGUUGCACACUUAGUGCGGCCCAUGGUUUUCAGCAACUUGGGGCCCAAACCUCGCUUGAAGCUGGCAAUCUUCUUUGUCUCAGUGUUCACAAACUCAGGAGCAUACCUUGACAGGUGAUUGAAAGCAUGCAAGUACUCCUUUAGAGUUUUGUUGCCCUGAGUCAACUGCAUAAACUCGGUAUGCUUCAGUUCCAUGACACCAGGAGGAAUGAAAUGCCCCUUGAAAGCUUCGCGGAAAAGAUUCCAGUCAAGCACAGUGUCGGCUGGAAGAGCUUCUCGAUACUGAUUCCACCAGAUGCCUGCUGGCCCGUGCAGUUGGUGAGCUGCAUACUCGGCCUUCAAACUCUCGGUCAACCGAAGCAAGCAGAACUUUUGUUCCACCGUGUUCAGCCAUUCCUCAGCUUGAAGGGGUUCUUCAGCCUCUCUAAAAGGUGGGGGCUUCGUAUCCAUGAAGUCCUUGAAGCUACUGUACUGGUUAGGUGCUGGCCCUUCUUGUGCAUUACGACCACCCUGAUUUGCCAUCCGAUUGAUGGUCUCAGUGAGCAUCCUCUGGUUUCCACCAUCAUUUGCAUCAGCUCAGCUGGAUUUGGUGGUGGAGGAGGGGGUGGGUUCAUGUUCGCACGCUGUUCUACACCUCGAGUGCCACGAGACAUAUGUAAAGACACAGUCAGUGAGCAUUGAUGAUGACAAGAUUUGCCGUAGAAGAACUUAUAUUUAUGCCUGAAAGUAUUCGAGAGAAUAGCUUUACAAAAAAAGGCACAAUAAUUCAAUUCCACAAAACAACAUCACCAAUCCAACACAUGACAGAGAUAUCCGCAAUAUGCACCACAACGGAAAACAUCGUCAUAACAGAUCGAACAUGUUAAGGUUACACAUUGGGUCCAUAAAGUUAUUACACCAUCACAAUACAUGACAUAAGGCAAGAUCAAGGUUCCGGAUUACAUCAUGAUUACAAAAGCACCACUACUGACUUGUCACACUACAAAAGAUCCUCACAUAACAACUACCCACUACUCACUACACUCCAUGCUCGUCGUCCGAGUCAGCGUCGAAGAUCGCCUCUCCAUCCUCGUCGCUAACUGCCUCAAGCUCCUCGUCCUCCACAUCCUCGUGCAAGAGUGGUGCAGCCGCUGCUGGUCCAUCUACCUCCAUACCAUCAUCAUCGGCCACAAUCACCUGAGGUCCCACCUCUGGAUACAUGGGCACAGGGCAAGGAAUAGGGUGUAGCAAGUUGUUGAGACGGUGAAUCUCCACAAGACCAGCAUCAAUCUGAUCCUGCAGAUAGUUCUCCCGCUCAAGCGACUGAAUCUGGUGCAUCUCCCAAGCCCGGCGCCUGUUCUCUGACACACGGAGUGCAGUAUCCCUCUCACGAGUGACCUGCACCAAACGCUCCUACACUGUCUCCCUCUCUCGAGCUAACUGACUCAUCUGAUCCUGCUUAUGAUCUCUCUCCCUAAUGGCCUUCACCCACUGCUGCCUAUGGUACUCCGCAAUGCCUUCCUAGUCAUUGCGGUCCUUCUGAGCUUGCUCCAGGAGUCUAGCUUGCUUGCGAAACUUGCGAGCACGCUUUUUAGCCUUCUGUUGCAUCUCCUGAGCCUGGCGAACAGCCAUCAUCACCUGUGCAUAAGUGUCCUCUCGCUGACUGAACAGCUUGAGCACAGCCAUCAUAGCACUCAUAGCAGGACUAGAACUCUUAGCUCGCUCUCCCCUGUCUCGGACCAACGCACAACCAUCAGCCUGCUUCCACUCCGCUGCUGCUGGGUCAGCACGGGGAAUGGAGGCCGCUGGUCCUCCUGUCACCUCAUCGCCAAACCUCUGACAGAUAUUGAGCAGCAUAGCCUGGGCUGCAACCUGAGCUGCUUCCCAAGGAGUCUGCCCAUCUGAGUUGCAAGUCCACCCUGCCCAUGCAGGCCUGCCCCCAUGUGGAGGGACAACUCCCUGCAUAGCAAACCACUGCAACUCUCCUAUCAUAUCCACCUCCCACCAAGAAUACUGAGGUGGCUCAGUAUACCCCAUAGACUGUAGCACCCUCCAGAGUAGGGUAGGAGUGCCAAACUCGCUCAAGAAGGUGUCACUGGGGCGAGGUGAAGCGGGCACGUCCAUCUGUGGAAAGGAAUAGGGAUACCAUGGGUAAGAGGAGAUUAAUUUAAGCAACAUUUAUUUAAUUAAAAGAGACGACAUGGUAAGGGAAGGAGUAGACAGAAUGUAUGUAUGAAUGCGACAUGAUGCAUGCACGAACCGUACAUCCUCACAAACUUAGAAAAUUAAUAUUGUAACGGAUAUACGGUGGCAUACAUUCGUCUCUCGAUACGAUAACUAGCGAUUUACACGUGCGCUGUUAGAGUACCUGCAGAAAACUUCAUUGCAGCCCAACAGUUCCCAAUAUAUCACUCAAGAAAGUAGUAAACUAAGUGCACAUUGCUUGGACAUGCCCAACAUGCACCAACAAUGACACCACAGCUACCCGAAAAAUUAAAUGCUCCCCAAUUAAGUUUCUUUCGUGGUUCCAUAGUUUUGACAUGUAACCGCUCCAGAAAACCACCGCGAACACUCCCCUAGACCGCCGUUUGGACGAUCAUGCUCUCACAGCUCAAACUUACCAGAGCGUAGGUGCGAGGUUGCCGAAUUUAAAUCUAGCGACAUAUGUGGCUAAUUCACAUAUGAAGGCUACCUCUACCAUUAGACCACAGGGUAGCAUAGUGCGGUCAUCACACAUCCAUACCUGAGUACUGCCGGAGAUGCGUAAAAUAAACCCCCCAAGUCAGUACUUAAAUAGCCACCUAUAGUCCUUAUAUGGGCAAGGAGGAUUCGACCACUGACAUAACUUAAGUGUAUGAUUUUUAAAUUUCUAGUUAAAAACUCUUUGUUUUUAAAUACACAAACACUGCAUUUAUAAUGCUGAACUUGCUCUGAUACCAGCUGUCACAGAACCGACCAAAUUAUAAGAGUUCAAGUGUAGAAACGAUCGACAAGCAAUCAAGUUUCCAAACUUGAGCCCAUAUAAUCCCGGUAGUCAACUGAAAUCACGAAGGACUUCAAACCAACUUGCAACAAACCAAGAUCGUAAUAGUUCAACACAACACAGCGAAUGUUACAUAGUCAUUCAUUGCCGUCGAAGCGGCACCACAUCGGAGUUGCUUAGUUAUUACAACACAUGUUUGUAGUAGCGGAAGCAAAAUAGUUUACAACACAUGUUUCAUAGUUCAGUUCACAAGUUCUUGUUAUAGCCAGAGUCAUACACCAUCCAUCCAAAAGCAGUAGGUACGAGUUGGUUAGAGAACCGUGCCCAACGGUUUAGUCCUCAUCCCCAGCGGGAUGGAGACAGGUCUUGCAGAAGCCAUCAUAAAAGAUAUCAUCUGCAACAGGUGGGAAAUAAACCCUGAGUACGAGAAUGUACUCAGCUAGACUUACCCGUCUAGUAAAACAUAAAUGACACCAAGGAUCAUGCAAGGCUAAUAUCAAGUGGAGCUGGUUGACUCAACAUUUGCCAAAAGCUUAGAUCAUAGCUACAAUGUUGUGAGAGCAUCAUAUUAAUCAUCAUCAGUCUACCACUAGAUUAGCAACUGUACUAAAGCACUUCACUUGAUUAUUACAAGCAAUAAUAACCAUAUCAAAUUCAUCAUAUGUUCUUCCUUGCUAUCAUCAUUAUCACGAACCAAGUUCAUUAGUGAAUGCUACGUUUGCCGCUGCUCUGUCAAGUUCUCACUAACCGGGAGAGACGGCGAUUCGAAUCGAGUUCCUAUCCAGCUGGAGGGGUAUUCCUAGCACUCACCCAAGCAUCCCCGUCGGAGAGCCAACGGGUCACCUUUGGUACGACUCAGGAAUCGCGGCUCCGAUCAGCGCCGCACUCCCAGGGCUACCACUCUGCCAGGGAGGUUAGGAAUUUUAACUCACCUGCCUUUGGGCUUACGUCAAUGGUCCCCCGCACACCGCACUUCCUCCGGUAGUGCGCACUUUAUACUUGCCGGUCUUCCGGCCUGAGUCAUAUUACUAGGCUUCGCGGUCAGAACGAGUUAUCCGGCCAACUAAGUGUUAGACAUGCGUUCAACAUGACAAGAGGACGUACAACGGUCGGUCCUUAGCUGCCACAGACGGAGUUACUACAACCUUGCAAAACUCUGCCCGGCUUAAGUCAAUUUAAUCAGGUUCCAUCCACGAUAGCACAUAUAGUCCAUUGUGAUCCGACAUAACCCUAUAUCGCGCAGGUGACAGGAUAUCACCCGACUUCUACCAGUUUAAAGCAUGGCUAAGCUACUACUCGAUCCUAACUCUAUAACCAGGUAGUGGUAAGAUAUCUGGACAAGGAUGGAGUAAAAUGCAGCAAGAGUUUCAUCACAACUCCUAUACUUAAAUGCAUCAAUAGAUAUAACAUAUUCAAAUAAACUUUCGAAAGUAAAGGGUGACUUAGGAUGCUCCGGGGCUUGCCUUUCACAAACGAGGCUGGUUCAUGAUUUGGGCACUCAAUCUCCUCUUCGGGCUCCUCGAGUCCGACUUACUGGACCUCCACCUCCGGGUUGCCUUCCUAGCCUUCGGGGUUCACUUGAAGCUCAUAGGAGGCGGUCGCGUCCGGUUUUCUUGCUCGAGGAAUAAGAAAGUGUGCAUACUAAAAGAUGAAUGCUUGAUAACAUAAUUAAACUCGCUGGACACUCAUUUACGGAGUAACGGUGAUAACAAGUUCACCCAAGAUGAUAAGUUAACUUAGCCAAAACCUACCAAGUUACUAUCACAGCAAGCAUUACAUAAAGAACAGCUCAGUAAACAGGUCAUAACUAUUGCUAAAAAGAUCCAACAAAUAUAAGUGAGGACAUUAUGGAAAGCUUAAGAAAUUAUCUACAAAUCAUCUUUAAACAUCACAGCGACAAUCAUAAGUUAAACAAGCCUUAUAAACAAAGUUCCAGGUUCUGUCCCAGAAAACAGAAAGCACCUAUUUCUGGAAUCCAACUUGGAACAGCCAUAACUUUCAAACUACUGGACCUAAUGAUCCCAAAUUUGAACCACAGCUAGUUUAUAAAGUUUACAACAACUUUGAUUUAGACAAGCCUUCCAGAAAACCAAACUUUUAAUAAGCAAAGAUUGAAUUACUUCCUUGCUGUCCAGAACAGCUUUUAACCCUUUAAUUAAUUAUUUGAUGACAUAGCCAAAGCAUAAACAAUGUCAACCACAUGGCUUAUCAACACAAACACAUCAUAAGACAACCAGAACAUCAUAUGAUAACUUCUAAACAUUUAUUAACAAGGCAUUUAUUAAUUUAAUUCUAUAAAGGGGCAUAAUUACAAGAUACUAGUAAAAGUGCUCAGAAAAAUCUACAAAAAUUAUAGAAGUACAAGCAUAGCAUCAUGACAUCACCAUAAAAAUUUCAGAGCAAUUGCACAUGCCAAACUUAAGAUAAGCAUUUAACAGGUGACAAGGUGCUUAUUUCAUAAAUUCAGAAAUAUGGCUUAUAUGGUGUCAAACAACAGAUUUCAGAUUAUUUUCAUACUACUAUUAUCAUAAAGAAGUGUGACACCAAAGUAGAGCACCAGCAUAAGCAUCAAUUAUUUACUAUGAUUUUAAUAAGAAAACAAGCCAUAUCUCAAUCAUAAAUUACAUAUCACAGAUGUAGCACUCCAAAAAUCAUGAAUUAUUUAUUAUAGCACUCUAAUACUACACAAAGACUACCAUAAACAUUUCACAGCAAAAGGAGCAGUAUAACAAAAGAUAUGAAUUUAUUCAUGAAUAAAAAGAUUAAAUCCCAAUAAUUAUUUUUCCCAGAAAACAUGGUUCAUUUUAUAUUUUUACAAAACAAUAGCCAUCUCCAAGAAUCUCACAAAAUUGGUUUCACAAUUUUUGGAUCUCAGAAACAAGAGAUAUGAUUUUUGCAAGAAAGCCAAAAACCUAGAUUUGAAUAAAAGAAAAGGAGGGAAGCGAGGUGACACUGACAGCGGAUCCCUCCUGUCAGGGUCGUCUUCCUCACAGCCGAGGCGACUCUCGCCGGCGAUUUCUCCGCGACGGCGAGGUCUCCGGCCAAACCCAGGGUACCAUCGUGACCGCCCGACCCUUGCGACUCGAUUGACCCCCUUUUCCCCACGGCGGAGGCACCGGAAAUGGCUUGCCGUCGACCAUGGCGGCUCGGCGGAGGUGCUCGGCGUUACGCCGGAGCUCUCAGGCCGGUAGAGCGCGACCUAGGGUUUCCUACAGCACCAGCGGACUACGGCGAAGCUUCCUAGGUAGGCGACUUGGCUUGACAUGGUGUAGAACGAGCUGCCCACGAGAGCGCCUAACUUCGGCGGAAACACGGCGGCGCUGCGCGUCGUGUCAGGCGACGGUGAGCGCAGUAGAGCGUCCACCAAGCGGCGCAAACGCUUGCUAAGAUCCUAAGCUACCUCUAGGACCUAACCAGAGAAGACGAGAGGCUCCGAGGAGCUCGGCAUUGAGUUCGUCAGAGAAGAAGGUCACGGCGAUCCGAUUUGAGGGAAGUUGGGAAUGUCGGCUCACCGGAGGGUUUCACGGCGAUUUAGCGGGUGGAGAGUGGAGAGCGGUCCGCGGUGGAGCUGUGGGCGAGGUUUGGUGGACAGCAGCGCAGCGAGGAGCGCGUACGAGCUCGCCGGAGUGAGCUCGCGACGGUGAGCUCGCUGCGGCCGCGUUUCUGGCGAGAGAGGGCGAGGCAGAGAGGAAUGGACGCGUCCACUUCGCCCGGGGUGUCGCCGUGGAGGACAUGCGCUCGCUGGGAGUUGACGAGCGGGGCCAAGAACGACGUACGGAUGCCAAAUAUCGCCGUUGCUCUGCCGCCCGUCAGCCACGUCGACGAGCUCGGUUCUGAUUCAGACAAAACGAUGGCCGUCUGACAGAGCUACUUUGACAACGAUUAACUCCCAAACCAGAGCGAGUUAGGAGAUGAUGUAGUUGACAAAGUUGGAGUACUAGCUGAGUUCUACAACAAUGUCAACUGGAGCAAGGGCUAGAUCGGCCUGGUUUGAAAGAUAUGAAGUUUUCAAAAUCGAUCAAGCAAACUGCAGCGUCCCCAGACUUAGAAAUUUUUUUUCUAAGUGUUGGAAACAGCCCCAAUUCUGCCUUGUGGGUCACUUUUGAGCUAGAUGUGAUCAUUUUCAUGAGAUGGCCAUAAAAGAACUUUUGUUCCUUAUAAAAUUGGCUACAAAGUUGCUGUAGAAAGUUUUGACAUGCAAACAUUUUAUGAAACACUUUUUAAAAGCCUAAGCAAAAGAGGUUUCUAGGGCCUAUUUGUGUAAGUAUGACUUAAGUGAUUAUUUUGGAGAAGUGAUCAACAUGAACAUUGUUCCUAAUGUUGAGUUAAGCAUAGAUAAACUAAUUACCAAGGCAUAGAUCACAAACACAAGCAUGGUACACACCAACACAAGCCUAGGAAGCCUAUUUAGACAACUUAAAUCACAUUUUGCAUAAAAUGACAUGGCUCAAGGUAGAUGAUGAUCAUGAUAUGCUUGAGUAAAUGAUGAUGCUUAUGUUAUGCAUGUGAUUUAUGCAACCAUAACACUGGGGUGUUACACUCCUCCUGAUGAAUGAAUUAGGGUUUGAGGAAUGAGAAUGAGUCGUCUCCUCCAGGGGCCAAGGGGCCUGCUUAUAUAGCCCCUCCAAAUGAAUAUGGGCCGUCGGAUCAAACCAACCUUAAUCACACGGUUUUCUUUAAUCCUUUAGGUCGGUGGAGCAUUAUCCGCGAGACGAAGCCUGAUUGGCUGAGAGCCUUGGGCGGGCGCCCAGCCCCGGGCCCGCUCGGCCUCCCGCUCGUUCCUGUGGCUUCUGGACUCUUCUAGAUGUUGGAUAAUUGCGGUGUAUAUUAAUAUCUCUAUGUAAACCCGACGUGUGGACCUUUCCUCCAUAUUCUCUGAUAACCCCCUACAGAAAUAGUCAAACACCAAAACUCGUGGAAUUUUGUCAGAUAAAACCCUAAGUCUGGGUGUUGGUCACAUUUGGAUCCUUUUCUUUAUUUAUUUGAUGAUUAUAUUUGAUACUUAUGGACCGUCAACAAACUCCCCCAAGCUUACCGCUUGCUUGUCCCUGAGCAAGGAUAGUCUCAGUGAUGGAUCAGAAGUUGUUGUAAUGCCUUAAAAUGUUGAUGGUACACAUGCUUUCAAAUGAGGUCUCAUCUCUGAGUUAGAGUAAACUGUUAAGACUUAAAACUUACUCAUUUUACCUUUCACCAUGGGGCUUGCAACCGUCACUUAUGUCUUGAGCAGUUAAAAGAUAGAACGGUCUAGCCAAGCGCCAUGUCUCUUAUUCUUGAUCAGCUAUAGCUCUGGAGUUUUUGCAGAUUUCCAAAUAAAGCUCAGAGAUUCCUUUGUAUGACUCUCUCAGAUCUCUCUUUUAUGGUAUUUCUGGAUCCUUACCAAGGCAGUGAUGGUCUAUGCUUUCUCUCAAAGUAUGUGGUAUUUGUAGUAUAAGGCAUAGUGACAUUGCCUUCUCUCUCAUCCUACUCUAAUAAGGCUUUGAUAUAUGGAGCUCAUAGGUGGGAGAUAAAGUAUACAUACUUACAAGACAUUUAUUACAUAGUCAAACCAUGGAUCCAGAGAAACAAGUCAAUAAGUCAAAUCAAGAUGUGCAUGUGUGGCGAAUGAAUGGUGUAU